UACGUAGGGUGCAAGCGUUGUCCGGAUUUAUUGGGCGUAAAGAGCUCGUAGGCGGUCUGUCGCGUCGGAUGUGAAAACCCAGGGCUCAACCCUGGGCCUGCAUUCGAUACGGGCAGACUAGAGUGUGGCAGGGGAGACUGGAAUUCCUGGUGUAGCGGUGAAAUGCGCAGAUAUCAGGAGGAACACCGGUGGCGAAAGCGGCUCACUGGACCAUUACUGACGCUGAGGCACGAAGCUAGGGGAGCAAACAGG
RNAcentral lists this ribosomal RNA (252 nucleotides) under uncultured bacterium. RNAcentral's name for it is "partial 16S ribosomal RNA". It matches the Rfam family "Bacterial small subunit ribosomal RNA", at positions 524 to 776 of the family's 1533-position model. The record is from RNAcentral.